GAUCAUGGCUCAGGAUGAACGCUGGCGGCGUGCUUAACACAUGCAAGUCGAACGGGGAUUAUUUCAUUGAAGCUUCGGCAGAUUUGGCUUAAUCCUAGUGGCGGACGGGUGAGUAACGCGUGGGUAACCUGCCUUGUACAGGGGGAUAACAGUCAGAAAUGACUGCUAAUACCGCAUAAGCGCACAGGACCGCAUGGUCCGGUGUGAAAAACUCCGGUGGUAUAAGAUGGACCCGCGUUGGA
Molecule: ribosomal RNA, 242 nt
Filed under: uncultured bacterium
Lineage: Bacteria
Description: partial 16S ribosomal RNA
Rfam family: Bacterial small subunit ribosomal RNA
Source: RNAcentral